GGAGCCUCCGGCUCAGCUCUUGCGGGCCGGGCAAGAAACGUCCCGAGGGAUGACGUAAGCCCUAAGGCAGCUGAACUCAGUAGAUUCCUUUUGGUAGGGUUCUUGGAGAGAGGGAGAAACAAGGCAGGGGAUGAUGUCGAGGAAGACGACAUGUUCAUCAUCAAACUGUUUUUUUUCCUGAGUUUUUGUCUGAGAACGAGUCUUCGAUCUUUGUCCGAUCAAUCUUGUGUUUUGGAGGGAAGAUUUUAACCCAAAGAGAGUGAUUAUAAAGAUGUUUCCAGUACUUUGAUCUUAUUGUGAGAUUUUAUAUUUCUCGAACACGUCUUUGUCUUCUUGAACGAUCCAGAGUUUGUCAAAUCGACAAGAAGGGGGCCAUUGUUACAGCUUCAACGUUGAUUUCAUAAUAUAAUCCCCACGAGUUCAUAUGAUGAGCCCUGAUUUA
Long non-coding RNA from Tarenaya hassleriana, 442 nucleotides. RefSeq lists it as uncharacterized. Lineage: Eukaryota; Viridiplantae; Streptophyta; Magnoliopsida; Brassicales; Cleomaceae. The record is from RefSeq and is a predicted model, not a curated record. The transcript is spliced from 2 exons.